This 245-nucleotide ribosomal RNA is filed under the name uncultured bacterium. Its description in RNAcentral is "partial 16S ribosomal RNA". It matches the Rfam family "Bacterial small subunit ribosomal RNA", at positions 86 to 334 of the family's 1533-position model. The record is from RNAcentral.
CGCUGACGAGUGGCGGACGGGUGAGUAAUGCUUAGGAAUUUGCCCAGUAGUGGGGGACAACCCGAGGAAACUCGGGCUAAUACCGCAUACGCCCUACGGGGGAAAGCGGGGGACCUUCGGGCCUCGUGCUAUUGGAUGAGCCUAAGUCGGAUUAGCUUGUUGGUAGGGUAAAGGCCUACCAAGGCGACGAUCCGUAGCUGGUCUGAGAGGAUGAUCAGCCACACUGGGACUGAGACACGGCCCAG